Molecule: ribosomal RNA, 1613 nt
Filed under: Thalassoalaimus sp. 2 TJP-2019
Lineage: Eukaryota; Metazoa; Nematoda; Enoplea; Enoplida; Oxystominidae
Description: SSU rRNA
Rfam family: Eukaryotic small subunit ribosomal RNA
Source: RNAcentral
AGAUCAUCCUUCUUACUUGGAUAACUGUGGAAAAGCUAGAGCUAAUACAUGCUACAAGCUCUGACCUUACGGAAGGAGCGCAUUUAUUAGAACAAAACCAAUCGGACUUUGUCCGUCAUUUGGUGAAUCUGAAUAACUAUGCAGAUCGCACGGUCUUAGAACCGGCGACAUAUCUUUCAAAUGUCUGCCUUAUCAACUUUCGAUGGUAGUUUAUGCGCCUACCAUGGUUGUAACGGGUAACGAAGAAUCAGGGUUUGAUUUCGGAGAGGGAGCCUGAGAAACGGCUACCACAUCCAAGGAAGGCAGCAGGCACGCAAAUUACCCACUCCCGGCACGGGGAGGUAGUGACGAAACAUAACGAGGCGAUUCUCUACGAGACUCGCCAUCGGAAUGGGUACAAUCUAAAUCCUUUAACGAGGAUCUAUUGGAGGGCAAGUCUGGUGCCAGCAGCCGCGGUAAUUCCAGCUCCAAUAGCGUAUAUUAACGUUGUUGCGUUUAAAAAGCUCGUAGUUGGAUCUGCGACCUAGGAUAGCGGUCUGCCAAACGGUGUGUACUGCUCUUUCUGGUCUUGUUGUCCGGUUUUCCCUUGAUGCUCUUUGUUGAGUGUCCUGGGUGGCUGGAGAGUUUACUUUGAAAAAAUUAGAGUGCUCAAAGCAGGCGGUCUGCCUGAAUAAUGGUGCAUGGAAUAAUGGAAUAGGACCUCGGUUCUAUUUUGUUGGUUUUCGGAGCACGAGGUAAUGAUUAAAAGGGACAGACGGGGGCAUUCGUAUUGUGGCGCUAGAGGUGAAAUUCUUGGACCGCCGCAAGACGAACUACUGCGAAAGCAUUUGCCAAGAAUGUUUUCAUUAAUCAAGAACGAAAGUUAGAGGUUCGAAGGCGAUCAGAUACCGCCCUAGUUCUAACCGUAAACGAUGCCAUCUAGCGAUCCGCAGGAGUUAAAUUUAUGACUCUGCGGGAAGCUUCCGGGAAACCAAAGUUUUUGGGUUCCGGGGGAAGUAUGGUUGCAAAGCUGAAACUUAAAGGAAUUGACGGAAGGGCACCACCAGGAGUGGAGCCUGCGGCUUAAUUUGACUCAACGCGGGGAAACUCACCCGGCCCGGACACCGUAAGGAUUGACAGACUGAUAGCUCUUUCUUGAUUCGGUGGAUGGUGGUGCAUGGCCGUUCUUAGUUGGUGGAGCGAUUUGUCUGGUUAAUUCCGAUAACGAACGAGACUCUAUCCUACUAACUAGACAGCGAAUUUGGCUGUUCGUUGCGCUUCUUAGAGGGACAAGGGGUUUCUAACCCCACGAAAGUGAGCAAUAACAGGUCUGUGAUGCCCUUAGAUGUCCGGGGCCGCACGCGCGCUACAAUGAAGGAAUCAACGUGUAUCAAAACCUGCUUUGGAAAGACUGGGUAACCAGUUCAAAUUCCUUCGCGCUUGGGACAGGGACUUGCAACUAUUUCCCUUGAACGAGGAAUUCCUCGUAAGUGUGAGUCAUCAUCUCGCGUUGAAUAUGUCCCUGCCCUUUGUACACACCGCCCGUCGCUACUACCGACUGGAUGAUUUAGUGAGGUCUUCGGACUGGUACCGAUGCGGCUUCGCGGUUGCAUUGGUGUCCGGAAAGAAAACUC